RNAcentral lists this ribosomal RNA (1353 nucleotides) under marine metagenome. RNAcentral's name for it is "bacterial LSU rRNA". It matches the Rfam family "Bacterial large subunit ribosomal RNA", at positions 1581 to 2925 of the family's 2925-position model. The record is from RNAcentral.
AGUAAUAGAGGAUGGAGAGGAGGAUCGAGAGUGAGGAGCGGUGGGUUGGCCGGCAGGGUCAGAUGUGUAGAAGAGGCAGGGUAGAGAAUACCAAGGCGCUUGAGAGAACUCGGGUGAAGGAACUAGGCAAAAUGGUACCGUAACUUCGGGAGAAGGUACGCCGCUGUUGGUGAUGGGACUUGCUCCCUAAGCUGAUGGCGGCCGAAGAUACCAGGUGGCUGCGACUGUUUAUUAAAAACACAGCACUGUGCAAACACGAAAGUGGACGUAUACGGUGUGACGCCUGCCCGGUGCCGGAAGGUUAAUUGAUGAGGUUAGCGCAAGCGAAGCUUUUGAUCGAAGCCCCGGUAAACGGCGGCCGUAACUAUAACGGUCCUAAGGUAGCGAAAUUCCUUGUCGGGUAAGUUCCGACCUGCACGAAUGGCGUAACGACGGCCACACUGUCUCCACCCGAGACUCAGUGAAAUUGAAAUCGCUGUUAAGAUGCAGUGUAUCCGCGGCUAGACGGAAAGACCCCGUGAACCUUUACUAUAGCUUCACAGUGAACUUUGAACCUAUUUGUGUAGGAUAGGUGGGAGGCUUUGAAGCGGUGACGCUAGUCAUCGUGGAGCCAAACUUGAAAUACCACCCUGGUAUGUUUGAGGUUCUAACUCAGGUCCGUAAUCCGGAUCGAGGACACUGUGUGGUGGGUAGUUUGACUGGGGCGGUCUCCUCCCAAAGAGUAACGGAGGAGCACGAAGGUAUGCUAAUCAUGGUCGGAAAUCAUGAGGUUAGUGCAAUGGCAUAAGCAUGCUUAACUGCGAGACAGACACGUCGAGCAGAUACGAAAGUAGGUCAUAGUGAUCCGGUGGUUCUGAAUGGAAGGGCCAUCGCUCAACGGAUAAAAGGUACUCCGGGGAUAACAGGCUGAUACCGCCCAAGAGUUCACAUCGACGGCGGUGUUUGGCACCUCGAUGUCGGCUCAUCACAUCCUGGGGCUGAAGCCGGUCCCAAGGGUAUGGCUGUUCGCCAUUUAAAGUGGUACGCGAGCUGGGUUUAGAACGUCGUGAGACAGUUCGGUCCCUAUCUGCCGUGGACGUUUGAGAUUUGAGAAGAGUUGCUCCUAGUACGAGAGGACCGGAGUGAACGAACCUCUGGUGUUCCGGUUGUCACGCCAGUGGCAUUGCCGGGUAGCUACGUUCGGACAGGAUAACCGCUGAAAGCAUCUAAGCGGGAAGCCCCCUUCAAGAUGAGAUCUCACAGGACUUUAAGUCCCUAAAGAGCCGUUCAAGACUAGGACGUUGAUAGGUUGGGUGUGUAAGCACGGUAACGUGUUGAGCUAACCAAUACUAAUUGCUCGUGAGGCUUGACCAU